This 848-nucleotide long non-coding RNA is filed under the name Cyanistes caeruleus (blue tit). RNAcentral's name for it is "lncRNA (ENSCCEG00000013988.1)". The record is from RNAcentral. Lineage: Eukaryota; Metazoa; Chordata; Aves; Passeriformes; Paridae.
AUGUCUGCAACUAUAUGUUUCAAUCACUCCUUGGUUCUUAACUGUGUGAUCUGCCUUUUCUCAAAGGUUCUGACUUGUCUGUAUUGAUAAGGAAGUCAGUGGGAACUGAGAAUACCCAGAACUUUGGAAAUUACGGUGUUCAUACAGGAUAAAUUUCUUCAGAAUAUGUUAUGGAAGACCAGUUCCUCUAGUAACAUGUUGCUGUAGCCAAGGCAGCCAAGACCAGUUCCUCAGUGCAACCAUGCUACAAAGAAUUGCAGACAGAGAGAAUUGAGUGAGAAUGACACAGCUUAGGUGUCAUCAAAGUCGGGCAGCUUAGCAAACCAGCUUGGUAGUUGAGCAAAGAGGCAGCUGAAGGAGAUGAGUGCAUGCAAACAGCUGAGUGAUCAGGACUAUAAUGAGAGAAACUCAAUGCAGCCUCUUCCAGACUUCAGUGAGGACGCUGUAGAAUAGCAUUUGCAGCACUGAGCCACGCAGGGAGAGGCAGGUUAUCUGAUAGAGAGCAAUUGUUCAGCAUUGUAUCUGCCUGUGCUGGGAUAUCUGCAUCUCAAAGAAGCUAUGUCGACCAGUCAGGCUUCAGAAGCUCUUCUCCCUCAGAGGCAAAGCUUCUUGGUGGGUCCCUGUCUGGCAUGUUGGAAAUGACAUUCUGUGUGGGAAGAGUCUGAAGUGCAGAGAGCAGUGGGAACCCAGCAGCUCUGAACCACAGCCCAGAGGGUGCCCUACAGGACUGUGAAGUGCAGGAGGGAUGGAAUGUUUUCUGUCCAACAAACUGAAAUGAAAACAUUUUGACUCUCUGGUGUUUCAAUGCUUUCUGUUGAUAAAAAAAUAAAAUAAAUAGAUAUAAUUCA